AAACUUUGGACACGAGAUAUGGUAUUAAUAUUGGAUUGCUUAUUUUCUUGGGCCGGCUUGAGACGCUUAAUCUUCAGACAAGCGAGAGUAUCAGUUAAUACAGGGGGAGAGAAAAUCUAAUAGUGCAAUAGUGGAUUGGUGCUCAUUGGCUGGGUUUACUAUGGGCUUAUUAGAAGCUGACACCUGGACUUAUGGCUCAUUGACACCUCUAAUGCUUAUUCUUCUUGUUAUUAAGUCAUCAAUUAGUUUAUGUUUACCAAAAAGAAAAAACUCCAUAGCUUGAAAAAGAGAGAUUUGUGCAAGAUAUGUUUGGAAUGUUAUCAUGCCUGACAGUAAGGCCACAUGGAUGGGGCAUGUUUUCCGUUUCUCUAGCUUACACCCAUGCAGUGUUCUAGGAAAUUCUUUUAAGGCAACACAUGACGCAAUGCAACUCCAAUGAACUUUAGUGCCAUUUUCUUUUUUUUAUAAUCCUGGAGUACGGAUAUUGAGGCUUGAAUUUAUAGAAGCCCACGAAACAUUGUAGUCCCAUGAACCACAAUCAUUUGCCCUAAGCAAAUCGACUUGAACAGAAGCAAUUUGCAGAAUACCCCCACCAACUAUUUUCGUGACCUAAUCUCGCCGCCAAUCUCAUUCACGAGGAGAGGAAGGGAAAGGUCGGGUUUAGGGAUACUUGAACACAAAAAUUUCUCAUGGUUCUCAACCAUAGGGAAUUGCACAAACUAACCUAGGAAGUUUAUCAAAACAAUCACAAUCAAGUUCAUAUCAGAAAAUUUCAGAACAAGCAUGUAAAGACAGCGAAAUUGGGCAAUGCCUAAUAACAAUUUGGUGAUGAAAAAAUUCCCUCACAUGCACGACAGGACAGCAAACAACUUUUAGAAAGAAAAUUUUCCUAAAUUAGCUACACGUGAUUUUACAAAAAUCAGACGACAAGCAACAACAUGUCAGAAAAUUGUCAAAACGGCAGAACACUCAACUAAUAUCGCAAGAAUUUGUCCUAUCGAAACAAUUCUAAAAAUCAUUAUAUUUUCACACAACAUAGCCAACAUGUUGACAAACAAGUUUCAUUAGGAGACUAAGUGUAAAAUCCUUACAGAAAGAAAUAGAACAAAAAUGUCAAAUGUCUAUCUAAACAAGAGUUAGAACAGGGGUCCAAAUUUGAUCUCGUGUUCAGAUUUUAAUCUAGUUUUGAAAAAAAUAGAAGGUGGUCCAAACGAUGAGCAAUCUAUGUGAGAUUAGUGGUAUUGGAAACUUCUAAGUGUGCCUUACAAUUUCCUAGAAUGGCUCAAGUCCAAACUAGGUCAAUUAGGUGCUCUAAUAUCGAGAUCUCUAAGAGUGCGCGUGUCAGAAACUAAGAAAAAAUAGAACUCAAGCAUGCAUUAGAAAACGUCAAAGUCAUUCAAAUAAUGCACAAACGGCAUGAAGAAAUUGCAUAGGACUUAGGAUCGGAUGCAAUGGAAAAUUUGGAUAACCAUUUAAUCCUAAGUCAGCAUGCAAAAUGCCAUACGAUUUAAAUGACAUUAUGAAAUGAUUUGAAACCAAACAAGCUCAAUUGUGGAUUCAAUUUUACCAAAACAAAAUUCGGACCAAUGUAGGGCAAGUUAUCCUAUAUUUGGAUCUAAGCGAUUUUAAUCAAGUUAAUCACGUCCAAAAAUCCGAAAAAAAAAAUACAGGAUAUUCUCCACACAAUUAUGAGCAAUCUUCAUGGAAAAAAAAAGUUCCUCUAGAACGCAACAUAGAAAUUAGUACAAAAAUGACAAAAUCAUAGAUCAACACAUAACAAACUGACCUAGGCUCAAAUCUGAGUGGACUUGACCUAGUUAAACACAUCCAAAAAUCUUGAAAAAAUUACAAGACAUGCAUAAGAUUAUUUGAAACAAAACUCAUGAGGCAAGAUUGUCCAGAAAUCAUCACAGAAGGCUACAUGAAAAUAGUAAAUUCUCAUUUUGGAACAAGAGCAUAACUAAAAAUCCACUUAAACUCCUAUAGAAUCGCUCAUCUUCGGAUGUGUUUUUGAGCAUCAAAAGACACUUGAUUGGGCAUGCGACCUAUUGAUUCGAAGCUUGCAAUGUUUUAUUUUAAAUGUCUAAGAGGCCUCGAGUUGAAAUGAGGUUGUUUAGGACCUCAUUUUGGCCAAAUCAUUGGAUCAGUCCUAUAGCUAUGAAAUUGCAAAUUCAAGUUAAAUCAACUACAAUCAUUCAAGUUCAUUCAAAAACACUCAUCCACAGCAAAUCAAUAUCUCAAGUCUCUGUCAAAACGCCCUCCCUAUGAGAGAGAACCUACAUAAAAGGAAAAUUAUUCAAGAUCCAUUAUGCCCGUUCUACCACUCUAGUAUCGAAACUACAGAGCGCCUUUUUUUCUUGUGUAAAUGGACAAGGAAAAUAUGGGAUGACUCGAGAUUUGAUGGGAUCAGACCCAGAAAUAGCAUAAAGCGAACAGAUCAGUGGAUCUUCGAAACUUUUAGAGGAGAUCAGCUCUUACCUGCACGAGAGCUCACUGGUAUGCUUCUGUGGAACAUCUAGAAGGCGAGAAAUAGCUGGAUUUUUCGAGCAAAAUACCCCAGACCAGCAGAUCUACUGAUUUCGGCACAGGAACAACAGAUGUCUUUCAGUCGAGGAAAGUCAAAACAAAAAUUACGACAACUCACACGAGACAAACCUAAUCAGUGGAGACCUCCGGAAGGACGGGAUCUGAAGCUGAACGUUGAUGCAGCAUGGUGUUCAGGCGAGUUUUUGUGUUCUGUGGCUGGAGCAGUGCGUGAUUCGUCUGGAAGAGCUAUCGAAGGCUUCGCUUCCACGGCUAGGGUUUCUUCGUCGCACGAAGCGGAAGCUGAGGCGAUUUUACACGGGAUCUUAUAUACCCGGGAACUUCAGUUGCGACACGUGGGAGACUUCGGAAGUCGAAGAGUUAAGUGGACAAUUGAAAGCGACUGUUCAGCGGUGGUAGAAAUGGUAGUGGGUCGGGCCGACCCUUCGUGGAACCUAAAUGUAAUUGUGCAGCGUUGCAGGAGUGCGCUAAUUCAAAGCAACAACAUCACGGUGAUCCAUUGCCCACGCAAAGCAAAUGCAGCAACAGAUUAGCUUGCACGGAAUCAUCGAGUACAUAAUCUCCCUCUAAAUUGGUUGAAUUCACCCCCCGCUUCCUCUAUGGAAUAUUUUAUGUGCAGAUCUUUAUCCAUAUGUGUUAUGUAAGACUUUUCCUUAACCGUUAAUAGCACGUACUAUUUUGACCCCAAAAAAAAAUCCAUCAUCUAGCAUCCAAACAUCACAUAUUUACUUAAAAUUGAACCCUAGCCCUGGUUGGAUGAUCCAACCUCGCUUCACGGAAUUCGAGCUUGCGAAGUUACCUUUUAACUUGAACUCGAACGCGACCGAUUGGGAUUGAACGGUUGCCGAUCAACAAUCGUUGGAGCUUCAUCGAACCUCAUGGAUCAUCAAGGAUUAGUGUCAAUCUACAAGAAGCAUGCAAAAGCAAUCAAAGUAGAAUCCAUGUUAACCAAAACCUAAAAGGAAAAAAGUGAUCCACUUAGCUUUUUUUCUUCGUGCUUAAACUUGAACACUUAAGAAGAUGAGACCGAAGUUUGUUGUAUCUCAGAUCGACUGGAUUUCGUUCAUCAUCAAUCUCUGGGCUUUAAUUUACGAGACUCAUCAAUGGACGCUUCGGCUUUAAACUUGAUGAUCGCAACCGUUUCUAAAGAGUUAUAACCUAGAAGCGUUUCUUCAAAUUCUCCUUCAACAAAAUCGACUAAAUCCAAUUAGCGAGAGUUGCCGAAGUGAAGAUAUAAUCCCAACAGGUAUAAACAUUAAGAAGACUUAGCUGAAUCUUGCUGCUGCGCUUUUUCUGGAAAUCAAAACGCCAGCAACUUCAAGCUUUUGAUGGCCAAACAGCGAGAGGAAAAUCCUGCAAUGGAAUCUCUAUUCGAUCAAAUCAGAAAAAUAUAGAUGAGAGAGAAAUGGCCGCAAGCUUCAUCAAUCUCCUUCAUAGUAGACAAAAUCAGCCGCUUCAUUUGUCUUUUGGCUAGAGAGAGAAUUAGUGGAGAAAUCCCCCACUUUGCAAGAGCUUGUUUGAUCGGAUAGGCCUCACAAACUCCCCAAAAGCUCGGAUCGGCAAUCGGAUCGCCGAUCUACGAGCUGGAUUGAACGCCUGUCAUAUCGUUGAUCCAGCUUCGGAGAUGUCCACCAUUCAACGCUAUGGGGCUGUUAAUCAACAGAAAUAUAUUGAACUCAGUGAAGAACCUGAAUCUGAUAACAUUCUAUAACUAAAAUAGAGAGAAGAAGUGGAAAACUUAGCUCCGAUUUUGUUAUCGAAACUUUUGGAAAUGGAGAAUGCCGAGCUUCAAUCAAUGAAGAUGAUCUCCAGAAACAAGACUUCAAAUCACAGAUCAGUGGAGAGAUGGAUUGCUAGUCUUAAUCGGAAUCGAAGCUCGACCCGGGAAGAAAUUGAAGUUUAUGAUCCUUUCUUUGAUGUUGCGAAUACAAGAUCGUUUCCUCAGCUUCUUCUUCAAUAAAAUCAACGAAAUCAACAUCAACAAAAUCUGUUGAAAUCAAAAUCUAAAUGCAACAAACAUGCAAGUAGAGAUUGAGAAGACUUAGCCGAAUCUAGAAUCUCAACUUGCUUUGGUCUUAGCUAUGAACAAUCUCCUUGGAUGGUGCGGUGAAGCUCAUGAAGAGCUCGAUCAUUCCCUUCGAUAAAAGACAAAAUCCGUUGCCUCGAUUGUAUUGUCCGCCAUGGACGGAAUGAGUGGAGUAAAUCCACGGAGAGAAAAUGAGUGGAGAGUUUUUGCUCAAACUUCAGCGAAGAGUUGCCUCCCUUUUUCCCAUUCUUCAGUCAAAUUUUUAUAGAUAGAGAGAACGAUGGAGAGAGAGAGAGAGAGAGAGAGAAAAUCUCUUGAAAUGAAUAUGGCCGAUAGAGAAAUUCGAGCGAGCCCUUCCUCUAGUUCGGCUGAACGUGGAGAGAUUGAGAGAGAAUUUGAGAGAGAGAGAUCUUUAGUCAGAGAAAGUAGAACUGAAAAGUGAGGUCCCCCUUAAAAUUUGGAGCGAAAGUUAGUCUUGGACAAGGUCAAAUCUUGGCUCUUGGAUUAAUCCAAAGGCUAAGGCUUGGUCUUCUUAGCUAAUUGGUUUAUUCAAUUUGUUAUGAACACCUUAAUCGAGCACAUGCUUAUUUUAAUAGCUACGAUGCAUUCUUAAUAAACGGAUGACAAUCAAUUGAGUACUAAUUGUUUUUUUUUUUCUUUUUUCUUUUUCUUUCUUUUUUUUUUUUUUGCAAUCUUCAUAACAGGAGGGAAUUAGUUUGCGAACUUCAUAAAUCCUAGGAUAAAAUUAGGAAUUUUGCAAAUUAAGGCCCUAGGAACAUUGGCCAUGGGAUGGACACUCUCAUGGUGGUCGCCGAACACCGUGAGGUCACCAAGUGAGAAAAAAUCGACACCUAGAAUCAGUGAUCAGUUAGACCACUAGGGCCGGUCCGAGCCGAUCUCAACCAAUCCUAUCCCUCUCUAUUUUUCUUUUGUGCAAUUUAGUCCCCUAGUGGUCUAAUUGCAAGACAAACUUGGUGUAUUGCAAACAAAGGUGUGCUAACUUGCCAAUUUCUUACUCAAAAGUGUCAACUAAUUGAAAUUAAGUUCAAUUAUGUUGUAAGGCACCAAUUGAUUCAAUAACCCAUGUCUAGAAUGACCCAUAGCGUUCAAAUGACCUUGAAAAGUAACAUGACUUUUAUGCUAGGAUUGAAUUGAAGACCAAUGAUGAAAUUGGAUCUCGAUUCUUGAAAUCAAACCUUAGUCUCGAAUGGGUCAAUUUGAAUUUUGCUAAUAGGAGCUCACUAGCUUAAUUUUCUUAAGCUCGGGUAAGCUAAAUCCCUCAAAGCGUAAUGUUCCCAAGUGAAAUUUUCAAAAUUAACCUUGGAUUCAGAUUUACUUCACAAAAAUGAAUAGAAAGGGAGUGUUCAUUCGCUAAUCAUGAAUAACCAACUCAGACCCCUAAUUAAGGCUAAAAAUGAUAAUUUGCCUUUCGACACUACAAUUCUCAAAAUUGAAUGCACGAGAAAAUUUUAAAUAAUCCCUAAACCAAAUGUUAAAGAAGGAAUUACACCAAAUUAUGACUAGAAUAAAAGUAAUUUUAUUUUUGGUCGAUUUAGAACCUAAAAUUAAAAUAUUUAGAAAUCAAGGUUCUUAAUCGAAUUUUGUGAAAUUUUCGAUACAAAAGUCAAAUUAGCAUUAAAAGAAAUGUAUUUGUGUAUUUUUUAUUUUUUGAUUUUUUUAGUCAAAGGUUUGACCAAAAAGUCAACCAUUUAGUUUAUUUUCUCUAAAAGGUUGAUUUCUUGGUCAAAUCUUUGAGUUUUUAAGAAAUUGAUUUGACAAAUGUGAAAUUAAGGUUAAAUGGUAUCUUUUUGGGUAAAAAGCCAAAUUUUGACCUAAGGUUGACUCUUGAUCAAAGGAUUAACUGAAAAGUCAACCCGAAAGUCAACAUUUUCACUUUUCACUUCUUCUUCUUUUUUUUUUUUGAAAAAGGACUAGAAAUUAUUUAAAAACAAUAAUGCAAAAGAAAUAAAUGAAAAACGACACUUUUUGACCAAAAAAUGGGGCUAUGUCGCGAUCAGAAACCAAAAUCUUGAUUUACCUUUUAAUGAUGUGUCGAAUAAAAAUCAUGUGUCAACAGAGAGUCGCCAUUAGCCUCAGUUUUGGGGAUCGGCUAGAAACCCAAUCGAGGGUUGGGAGUAUUACCUCAAUUUCUAUGCAACCAGAUAUUUAAGUUCGGGAACUUAUGUUACGCCAAUAUUUCUAUUAACACCAUUUCAGUACCUAAACGGUUUGUUGUGUUUACCUAACAUGUCCAUGCAUUUCUUCUUAUAUUUUCAGGAUCAUUAGUCCUAAAUUAAACAAUCAUGUGUGGUUGGCCAUUUUCAUGCUAAUUUAUUUUUUAGGAAAAUGAAAAGAAAUCACUCAAUUAAAUUGAAAAUCGUGAAGCGAUAAAUAAACAAACAAGGAAAAUGGUAAAUCUACCAUGCAAUCCUAGAAAAUAUAAGAGAGGAACACAAUUAAAAAAGAUAAGAAAAAGAGAGGACCCACAAUUCGUCGAGCUUUAUACAACAAAAGAAACCCGAGACAUACGUUGAGGAAAUGAAUAGUACAUAAUUAUGGUUGGAAUGGACAUCAACCUCCACUAUCUUCAUGUCUUCUCCAUCUUCAGGAUCCUAAUUUAAACCUAGAUUAGAAAAUUAUAUAAUAAGUACAUACAAUGGAAAGAAAUAAGCAUACACAUCAAAACAAUCAAAAACACGAUAUCAUGCCAAAAUCAAUCUUUCAAAAGAAAUUCAAUGCAAAAAGAAGAUUUAGGCCUUGGGAUCGGCCUUUGAAAUUCAUACGCAGGUCUCUCUAAGACGCUUGCCCGGUUCAUUUUAUGAUUUACAACUAUUAUUGACCAAUUGUGCUCUCGCAUGGCCAAUAACACUUAUAAGUUUUCUAACCAAGCAAUCUAUGUGAUACUAGGGUUUUCCUUCGAUAUCAUGCAUCGACCCUACCAUUUAUCUAGAAAUCACAUGCAUUGCAGGAAUUAAACAUGCAUACAAAUCUUUUGGACCUUGUUUCUCAAUCAAUCAAACAAGUGAGUGAGCUAUUAGAGGAUCAUUUAUUACCAAAGACAUGCACCAAUCACAAACACAGGUGCUUCUAAAUGAAUAAUGUGUUUAUAUGCAUGGGAGGUACAUGCGAUAUUUUAAAGAAAUCUUUCGAAAUCAUCCACAAAAAAAUUUUGAGAUAAAGUGAUGUCUUGGCUAUAAAAGGUAUUCAAUUCCCAAUGCUAGCCCAAGGCUCGCAUAAAUGCACUCACAAGCAUCACGAGCAGUUUGAAUGCAAUUCAAACCAUGACCUUCAAAAUUAUCAAAUCAAGAUUUAAGAAAAAUUUUGAAAAUAUUUCAUAUUAAGAGAUAUCUAAAUUAUGGAACACAUUUAAUUGCCAAGACUAGCUUGAGGCUCGCAUAAAUGCACUCACAAGUGUCGCAAGCAUUUUGAAUAUGGUAUAAACAAUUACUUUGCCUUAAGCCAAAUCGAGCUUUUGGAAAAGAACUUUUUAACAAAUUGUUUUUGAGAAACAACACAUGUACCAAAGCAUUUUUAAACUUAAUUUAAAAAAAAAAUCGUCCAAAAUCAUUUAACAAUGAAUAUCAAUGUACUUAAAGCAACUUUUAUGAAGAUAAAAUGACCUAGGUUCAUGCACAAACUAACCUUAGGAAGUUUAUCUAAACAAUCACGAUCAAGCUCAUGUUAGGAAAUUUCAUAAUAGACAUCCUAACAAACAUGUAAAAAUAGCAAAAUUGAGCAAUGUCUAAUGACAAGUUGGCGAUUACAAAAUUCCCUAACAUGCACGAUAGGGUAACAACAAUUUCGUGAAUAAAGUUUUCCUAAAUGAGCUACACAUAAUUUUACAAAAAUCAUAUAACAAGAAACAGCAUGUUAGAAAAUUGUCAAAAUAGCAAGACACUCAACCAAUAUCAUAAGGAUUAGUCCUAUCAAAACAAAUCUAAAAAUCACCAUAUUUUAACACAACAUAGCAACAUAAUAAAAAACAAGUUUCAUUAAGGGAUCAAGUGCAGAAUCCUUAUGAAAAAAAUAGAACAAAAAUGUCAAA
Molecule: long non-coding RNA, 8615 nt
Filed under: Eucalyptus grandis
Lineage: Eukaryota; Viridiplantae; Streptophyta; Magnoliopsida; Myrtales; Myrtaceae
Description: long non-coding RNA (EGRA_LNC001373)
Source: RNAcentral